This 1052-nucleotide ribosomal RNA is filed under the name uncultured bacterium. RNAcentral's name for it is "bacterial SSU rRNA". It matches the Rfam family "Bacterial small subunit ribosomal RNA", at positions 314 to 1359 of the family's 1533-position model. The record is from RNAcentral.
UGGAACUGAGACACGGUCCAUACUCUUACGGGAGGCAGCAGUAGGGAAUCUUCCACAAUGGGCGCAAGCCUGAUGGAGCAACACCGCGUGAGUGAAGAAGGGUUUCGGCUCGUAAAGCUCUGUUGUUCGCCAAGAACGUGCGUGAGAGUAACUGUUCACGCAGUGACGGUAUCCAACCAGAAAGUCACGGCUAACUACGUGCCAGCAGCCGCGGUAAUACGUAGGUGGCAAGCGUUAUCCGGAUUUAUUGGGCGUAAAGCGAGCGCAGGCGGUUGCUUAGGUCUGAUGUGAAAGCCUUCGGCUUAACCGAAGAAGUGCAUCGGAAACCGGGCGACUUGAGUGCAGAAGAGGACAGUGGAACUCCAUGUGUAGCGGUGGAAUGCGUAGAUAUAUGGAAGAACACCAGUGGCGAAGGCGGCUGUCUGGUCUGCAACUGACGCUGAGGCUCGAAAGCAUGGGUAGCGAACAGGAUUAGAUACCCUGGUAGUCCAUGCCGUAAACGAUGAGUGCUAGGUGUUGGAGGGUUUCCGCCCUUCAGUGCCGGAGCUAACGCAUUAAGCACUCUGCCUGGGGAGUACGACCGCAAGGUUGAAACUCAAAGGAAUUGACGGGGGCCCGCACAAGCGGUGGAGCAUGUGGUUUAAUUCGAAGCUACGCGAAGAACCUUACCAGGUCUUGACAUCUUGCGCUAACCUUAGAGAUAAGGCGUUCCCUUCGGGGACGCAAUGACAGGUGGUGCAUGGUCGUCGUCAGCUCGUGUCGUGAGAUGUUGGGUUAAGUCCCGCAACGAGCGCAACCCUUGUUACUAGUUGCCAGCAUUAAGUUGGGCACUCUAGUGAGACUGCCGGUGACAAACCGGAGGAAGGUGGGGACGACGUCAGAUCAUCAUGCCCCUUAUGACCUGGGCUACACACGUGCUACAAUGGACGGUACAACGAGUCGCAAGCUCGCGAGAGUAAGCUAAUCUCUUAAAGCCGUUCUCAGUUCGGACUGUAGGCUGCAACUCGCCUACACGAAGUCGGAAUCGCUAGUAAUCGCGGAUCAGCAUGCCG